Long non-coding RNA from Pipistrellus kuhlii (Kuhl's pipistrelle), 216 nucleotides. RefSeq lists it as uncharacterized. The transcript has 3 exons. The record is from RefSeq and is a predicted model, not a curated record. NCBI's taxonomy places the organism in Eukaryota, Metazoa, Chordata, Mammalia, Chiroptera, Vespertilionidae.
UUGAGUCCAGAUUCGAAUCUGUAAUAAAUUCUAGCAUGCUUAAUCAAAUUGGCUCCGGUGGUCCAUCUCUUGGGGACUCGCUUUGUAACAUUUGGAGGCCCCAGCGAGAUCCCACCAGGGGGGCUUCUCAGUAAGCCCCUCUAAGAAAUUUCACGUCCUCUGGAACAUCGGACCAUGCCCGGAUCUGCCUGCUCGGCGCCGUGGAAUCCUGUGCUG